Long non-coding RNA from Nymphaea colorata (pocket water lily), 1017 nucleotides. RefSeq lists it as uncharacterized. The record is from RefSeq and is a predicted model, not a curated record. Lineage: Eukaryota; Viridiplantae; Streptophyta; Magnoliopsida; Nymphaeales; Nymphaeaceae. The transcript is spliced from 6 exons.
GUCCUUCCCGCGCUUUCUCUGUCCGUCGUUCUCUCCUCCGUCCUCUCCCUCACCCUCUCACUGUUGGUGUCUCUCGCGCGCGCCGUUGAGCCACUUCUCCUCCCCUUGCCAUCGCCCUCAGACUCACAGUUAUGGUGAAGGUUUUCUAUCUUGAUUUGAAGGUUCUAGACUAGGGGAUUUUAGGUUUUCAUGUUUCUAUGGAGAGAUGGAAGGGGAUCGUCCAUGGCGUCAAGAGAAAGGCUUGAGUGGGUGAUCGCUAUGGUUCAGCAGGUAGUGAAGAUCCUCCCAACUACGAAGAAUAUGACAGCCGACCUGAUCACGGUCCACUCCAUCUUCGGUAACCGGCUAUCCAGCAUGAGGGAGCUCCUUGCAGGCGGCGACAUUGGCAAGAUGGAGGAGCGCCUAAAACUGAUUGAGGCGAAGAUCAGGUGCUGAAACUUGAACUCCUUGGCAGGGUGCCACUCCUUCCUCACGAGUGAUGUCUGUGGCCCAGGGUUGACUAGGUGGCUAGAUUAACGAAGAGCUUGUGGAAGCUCUCUCUCUUGAGCGAAACCGAGCUCGAGUUCCCUUGUGUGGUUGAAUUUUGGAACGGGAGGGUUGCAAGAACUAUGAAAUGCAUGCAACAGUGAUAAAUGACAGAAUGAGGCUACGAAAUAUGGGUAUUAUGUGAAGUUCUGCAUGAGAGGGUUCUCAAGGACGACAAAGAUUAACAAUUACUAUAAAGCUCUAUAGGCAUGCAAAGGAUACAAAGAAAUGACUUAUCAAGUUCCUACGUGUCAAUACAGACAAAUUGAUGCAUGGAGAGGAACUGCAUGACUUGGAGGAUGGGAUUCGAAAAUGUAUUAGAAAGUGCAAAAGAUUCUAAUAAGCCAGUAGUUGGUCAGUUGAAACUUGCGCUGGCGACUUCUUUUUCAUGGAGAAACUGACUUAGGAAAUCAAUUACGUUUCUUUGUAUAUCUUCUUGGACUUUCUUAUUGUUUCAUUGGAGUGUCAGCAAUUACUUCGCUUUUCUUUCAA